RNAcentral lists this ribosomal RNA (484 nucleotides) under uncultured bacterium. Its description in RNAcentral is "partial 16S ribosomal RNA". It matches the Rfam family "Bacterial small subunit ribosomal RNA", at positions 30 to 507 of the family's 1533-position model. The record is from RNAcentral.
AUUGAACGCUGGCGGCAGGCCUAACACAUGCAAGUCGAGCGGAUGAAGGGAGCUUGCUCCUGGAUUCAGCGGCGGACGGGUGAGUAAUGCCUAGGAAUCUGCCUGGUAGUGGGGGCUAACGUCCGGAAACGGGCGCUAAUACCGCAUACGUCCUGAGGGAGAAAGUGGGGGAUCUUCGGACCUCACGCUAUCAGAUGAGCCUAGGUCGGAUUAGCUAGUUGGUGGGGUAAAGGCCUACCAAGGCGACGAUCCGUAACUGGUCUGAGAGGAUGAUCAGUCACACUGGAACUGAGACACGGUCCAGACUCCUACGGGAGGCAGCAGUGGGGAAUAUUGGACAAAGGGCGAAAGCCUGAUCCAGCCAUGCCGCGUGUGUGAAGAAGGUCUUCGGAUUGUAAAGCACUUUAAGUUGGGAGGAAGGGCAGUAAGUUAAUACCUUGCUGUUUUGACGUUACCAACAGAAUAAGCACCGGCUAACUUCGUG